AGCGAACGCUGGCGGCAGGCCUAACACAUGCAAGUCGAACGAACCUUUCGGGGUUAGUGGCGGACGGGUGAGUAACACGUGGGAACGUGCCUUUAGGUUCGGAAUAACUCAGGGAAACUUGUGCUAAUACCGAAUGUGCCCUUCGGGGGAAAGAUUAAUCGCCUUUAGAGCGGCCCGCGUCUGAUUAGCUAGUUGGUUGAGGUAAUGGCUCACCAAGGCGACGAUCAGUAGCUGGUCUGAGAGGAUGAACAGCCACAUUGGGACUGAGACACGGCCCAAACUCCUACGGGAGGCAGCAGUGGGGAAUCUUGCGCAAUGGGCGAAAGCCUGACGCAGCCAUGCCGCGUGAAUGAUGAAGGUCUUAGGAUUGUAAAAUUCUUUCACCGGGGACGAUAAUGACGGUACCCGGAGAAGAAGCCCCGGCUAACUUCGUG
This 434-nucleotide ribosomal RNA is filed under the name uncultured bacterium. RNAcentral describes it as "partial 16S ribosomal RNA". It matches the Rfam family "Bacterial small subunit ribosomal RNA", at positions 29 to 507 of the family's 1533-position model. The record is from RNAcentral.